This 551-nucleotide ribosomal RNA is filed under the name uncultured archaeon. RNAcentral describes it as "bacterial SSU rRNA". It matches the Rfam family "Archaeal small subunit ribosomal RNA", at positions 327 to 878 of the family's 1478-position model. The record is from RNAcentral.
GGGGCGCAGCAGGUGCGAAACCUCCACAAUGUACGAAAGUGCGAUGGGGGAAUCCUAAGUGCUGGCGCAAUGCGUCAGCUUUUCUCGAGUCUAAAUCGCUUGAGGAAUAAGUGGUGGGUAAGACCGCUGCCAGCCGCCGCGGUAAUAGCGGCGCCACAAGUGGCAUCCAUUUAUAUUGGGUUUAAAGCAUCCGUAGCCGGCCUGAUAAGUCUACUGUGAAAUCCUAUAGAAAACUAUAGGGCGUGCGGUAGAAACUAUUACGGCUUGGGACCAGGAGAGGUCAGAGGUACUCCUAGGGUAGCGGUAAAAUGCUGUAAUCCUAGGGGGACCACCUGUGGCGAAGGCGUCUGACUGGAAUGGAUCCGACGGUGAGGGAUGAAAGCUAGGGGAGCGACCCGGAUUAGAUACCCGGUUAGUCCUAGCUGUAAACGAUGCUCACUUGGUAUUGGAAAUCUUUCGUGGAUUUCCAGUGCCGAAGGGAAACCGUUAAGUGAGCCACCUGGGGAGUACGGUCGCAAGGCUGAAACUUAAAGGAANUUGGCGGGGGAGCA